Long non-coding RNA from Mugil cephalus (flathead mullet), 3380 nucleotides. RefSeq lists it as uncharacterized. Lineage: Eukaryota; Metazoa; Chordata; Actinopteri; Mugiliformes; Mugilidae. The record is from RefSeq and is a predicted model, not a curated record. The transcript has 5 exons.
AUGAUAGAACGCACUAAAGGUGUGUGCACAUUAACUCUUUAAUAGGCGACCAACUCUCAGCCCAAAGACUCGAGGGAAGCCAAAUUACAGGCGCGCAAUAACAUCUAACAUCCCCAGUGUGUGUGUGUAUGUGUGCGCGCAACAGGACGACGCAGUAGGAGCAGGAACCGACCACACAAACACGAUGUCACCUCAGUGUCAGCUGCCACCAUGUGCGUACGUGAUCCAGUCGAGCAGAUCCCCCCCACCCACCACCACCACCAAUGCAUCGGAACCGAACGGACCCAAUACGCACCAAAACACGCUCCCAUUUUUAGAAGAUUGGUGGAUUCAGUGUUUAUCAUCCCAACAAAAUGGGCCCCCUCUCCGCCCCCUUUUAACAGCGUCACUCCGGAACCGAACCAGCAGUUCAGGUGGGUCACAUACCAGCCGCCAGCAACCGGAUGAACGCCCGGUCUCAGCAGCCUGAGCACCGAGUCAUCACGGGUGCUUUCCACGAGUCCGCCGCAGGCCCGUCACAGCUGCGUCGAAAGUUCUCAUUUUAAAGUCCACGAGGGGCGGCUUAACUCUCCAUCACGACCGCCAAGGAUACAACGGCAGUCCGCGCACACCUUCUCUCCCGAGGACGUCCAGUGCCAUCUGCAGACCUCACACGGGAGCGAGAGGGAGAGGCUGCCGCUGGAGCCCGAGGACGGUUUACCGACGCCGUAGAGAAGGAGAUGAGCCGAGUGAUGUCCCUGUCCUGUCCCGGCAUCGAACUGCCCGGCCCUCGGCGCCUGUCUGACGGCCCGAGCCGACGAGAGGGCUCGCCAGUCUGACACCGCGCCAGCUUGGAUAAGGAGUUCAACCUAUACCUGACACUACAGCGCCGCCUGGAGAUCGUCGGUAGAGUCUACCUGACCGCCGGGCAGGUGACAAUCCGGUUCCAAAAGCCGAGGAUAAAGACGAAGAAAACAGCUGCGCAACCGGAGAGAGAGAGAAAAAAAAACACGGGGAAGCACCUGAUGGAGGCUGACUCAGACGGAGGAUAAUCCGGCUCGCGUUCGAGGCCCAGAGACACCGAGCGGAUGAAGAAGGGUGAAACACGAGAUCAGCCCGCUUGUCUUCAUCUAACGUUACAGAGUGACUCUGACACCACAGUGCAUAGACUUAAGAAGCAGAGGAAUAGACGGAGCUAAAUACGGAGCAACUGCAGGAGAGCCAACACAAGAAAAGCGGUGAACAAAGAAAAAAGAUCAGAAUUACAAAAAAUGAGUUCCUGCUGUCUUCUGGUCGCUCCCACGUGGGGAGUCAGUGGGUUCACACGGGAGCAGUGUGAUGUAGGUAGUUUCAAGUUGUUGGGCUGGAUGCUUAAGAUCACAGGAACCUGAAACUGCCUGAGUCACACCAGCUGCAUGCCGACGGACUGAGCAGAAGAGGAAACCGAGCACGGCCGGUGCUCUAGCAUCACUUCUGCUCCGUGUUUAGCCUUCAAAACGCUUUAUUCUUUGCUAAUAAAUGAGCAGUGUGAUGAAAAAUAGCAGUUGGCUGCCUUUUGCCAAAAUCCAAGUUCAAAGCACUGUAUCAUCCUUAAAUAAAUAUCAUCAUUGUUUCCAGCAAACUGCUUCCAAAUGAAUUGAUACAGUAUUUGUGCUAACCACUGAGCAGUUAGCACAGCUUGAAGAACGCAGCAAACAAGGCUAAGGCCUCCACAAGCCCCAUACCGAUCGAGUCUCUGCAGGAUGUGCAGCAACAAGCCCAAUCCAGCUCCACCCUGCAACCCGGUGGACCCAAGCGACGCGGUAACACCACAGGGCACCUUUAAAGGUCCUUUUUCAAUGCCUCAAUGGGUUGUAUGUCAACCCUCAAUGUUAUGGUAGUGGGAGGGAGACUUGCUAUAACAGGAAGGUGUUUUCAGUGUUGUAUCCUAAAAUGUGAACCAUUCAUCUGUGCCCUUAAACCUCACAGAUACACCAGCGGAAAAGCCGUACAAGCUGCGCAGUCGCACAUUGUCCAAAACCACAGUAUUUACCACAGAAUUCAGUUUUAAAGGCCCGUCGUGUAGGAUUUAGCAGUGGUGAGGUUACAGAUUGCAGCCAGCGGGAAUAGCCCUCCCGUUAUCCCACAGCCAGCGUCUAUCACACACGUCACACGUGGCAUGCACAUGGACCGUCAUUUACGUUCACACAUGGAUACUGACACAGCUAACCACGUCCUGCCUACCCGCUUUGUACGCUCCUUUGACUGGCUCAGCAUGACAAAUUCUUAAAUGACUUCUAGCUACUAUGAGAUUAGAGAUGUGAACAGGCCUCGUAAUUUGAUUUGAUCCCAAGAUUGGAGAUAAGAAUGUACGAACGUGAAUCUCAUGCAACUCGUUGAACUCAUUUUAAUUGAGGAAAAAUAAAUCUACCAGUAUAUCAACAAUGUAUGUUUUUGCCAGUUUGAACGUUAUUAGUGAAAUAUCAUGAUCAGAAACCUAAUCAAACCAAAUAAGGAGGAUAUGAAUCUAAAGUUUAUCCCAAUUUACAGGGUUCAUUUUUUUUUAGCAUCAUCGAGGGCAUACAACUCAGCUGACUGCCUGUAACAAUAUAUGUGUUAUAUCUUCCUGUUGCCAGUUUAAGGUGCUGUGACUAUGAUUUAGUAUUGUAGUGUAAAUGUCUUCAGUGCAGGAAAUGUGAUGAUGAAGACGAGUUAUCCCGGCCUCUGACUGAGGGAGUCAUGAAGAUCAAAUGGAUCUUGAGAGGUUUGAAAGAGGAAUAUUACAAAUGUUGUGUCUCACGGUUUUUCUCCCUAGUAAAUGAACAUUAUCAAACAGGUUGGAUACUAGUUGGAGUGGCCACAAUGAGUUUGUAAGCAGUAAGGUGGGCUUAUAACUUGCUGAGGAUCCCAUCUCCAUAUAACCUGGGCUGAACCUUCGUACCAAACAAAAGUGGAGGAACAAGAAAAAGAUCCUAGAACAAGAAAGAGGCGCCGCACUGGAUUUAUCUUCUGACUUGGACCCCUUCAGUCUGAGCACACAGUUUGCUUUUUUAUUACAAUAUCUCUCUACAACAUCUUGAAGGUGUUAAGGUCUUUCUGGACAAAUCCGAGGUAGCAUGCUAGGGCAGAGACUGUACAAUAAAUUUACAUUUCCAUUUGCAAGUAAGUGGCACCUAGUGAUGUGCAUAACGAUACUGAAAUAUCGAUACCACGAUACACGUCUUUUUGUUCUAAAAUGGAUUCUCAAAUCAAAAUAUUGAUACUUUCGAUACUUCAGUCAUUCGAUUUAAUCAUUAACUGGAACACAGUGGACAGUAAUUAAACGAUUGAGAUGUGGCAACACAACAAACCUUGUGAAACACCUCAGGUUAAACCACAACACAGAAUAUGAGGCAUUUGUGAUGAGGAGGACAGAAGAGGAG